CCUACGGGAGGCAGCAGUGGGGAAUAUUGCACAAUGGGGGAAACCCUGAUCCAGCGACGCCGCGUGAGUGAAGAAGGAUUUCGGUACGUAAAGCUCUAUCAGCCGGGAAGAAAAUGACGGUACCUGACUACGAAGCCCCGGCUAACUACGUGCCAGCAUCCGCGGGAAUACGUAGGGGGCAAGCGUUAUCCGGAUUUACUGGGUGUAAAGGGAGCGUAGACGGGAGCGCAAGUCUGGAGUGAAAUCCAAUGGCUUAACCAUGGAACUGCUUGGGAAACUGUGCAGCUGGAGUGCAGGAGAGGUAAGCGGAAUGCGUAGUGUAGCGGUGAAAUGCGUAGAUAUCACGCAGAACUCCGAUUGCGAAGGCAGCAUACCGGCGCCCGACUGACGCUGAGGCACGAAAGCGUGGGUAUCGAACAGGAUUAGAUACCCUUGUAGUC
RNAcentral lists this ribosomal RNA (440 nucleotides) under uncultured bacterium. Its description in RNAcentral is "partial 16S ribosomal RNA". It matches the Rfam family "Bacterial small subunit ribosomal RNA", at positions 338 to 795 of the family's 1533-position model. The record is from RNAcentral.